UCCCGCUCUCUAGAUACUCCAUCCCAAUGCCUCUCCCUUUUAGAAAAAAAGAAGAAGAUCCGGGAGGCAGAAGCCACACGCUUACACCCUUUUCCCUUCGUUAUCUCUUGCAUUUCUCUCUCUCUCGCUCACUCUGUCUCUCUCUCUCUGAUUCUAUCUCGCGUCUAACCUCCCAUUGUUGAGAUUCAAACGUGGUCAAAGGGGCGCGGCGGAGGCGACUCGAGAUUGGGAGAGAAAUACAUUCACGCUCACACAUCAUCAUGAUGCAUAGCCUACGGAUCAAGAUAAUGAGAGUUAUAAGUGCCAAAAAGAGCUGGCUUCCCACAGGAGCCUCCUCACUACUCCCAGCCAGACUUGAGCUCCAGCCCCUGGGGAGACAGACCCACUCCGCGCCCACUGCAGGCCAGGCUUCCAGCACCACUACUUGGUUCCAGAUGCCCAGACUCUAGAUGGGAAGUGGAUCCCGUACAGACCCUGACAGUCUGUCUGGUCCGUGAUCGGCUGGAGGUACUGCAUGAGUUAAUGAUGAUGAUGACACGUGUGACUUCCUCAAUGGAGCAACUCAGCUGAUCGCACAGAACUUCCUCUUUGACAAGGGAAUCUGCUGCUGCCUCAAGUCACUACACCUGGAGAGACUUUAGUGUUGAGCAGUAUGGGUCUGGAGUUGUAUUCGGAAUGUGUAACAUUAAACGUAAUAAAUAUUAAUCUGCCCUGUU
Salvelinus fontinalis (brook trout) is the source of this 716-nucleotide long non-coding RNA. RefSeq lists it as uncharacterized. The transcript has 3 exons. The record is from RefSeq and is a predicted model, not a curated record. Lineage: Eukaryota; Metazoa; Chordata; Actinopteri; Salmoniformes; Salmonidae.